GACGAACGCUGGCGGCGUGCCUAAUACAUGCAAGUUGAGCGCUGAAGGUUGGUCCUUGUACCAACUGGAUGAGCAGCGAACGGGUGAGUAACGCGUGGGGAAUCUGCCUUUGAGCGGGGGACAACAUUUGGAAACGAAUGCUAAUACCGCAUAAAAACUUUAAACACAAGUUUUAAGUUUGAAAGAUGCAAUUGCAUCACUCAAAGAUGAUCCCGCGUUGUAUUAGCUAGUUGGUGAGGUAAAGGCUCACCAAGGCGAUGAUACAUAGCCGACCUGAGAGGGUGAUCGGCCACAUUGGGACUGAGACACGGCCCAAACUCCUACGGGAGGCAGCAGUAGGGAAUCUUCGGCAAUGGACGAAAGUCUGACCGAGCAACGCCGCGUGAGUGAAGAAGGUUGUCGGAUCGUAAAACUCUGUUGGUAGAGAAGAACGUUGGUGAGAGUGGAAAGCUCAUCAAGUGACGGUAACUACCCAGAAAGGAACGGCUAACUACGUG
RNAcentral lists this ribosomal RNA (497 nucleotides) under uncultured bacterium. Its description in RNAcentral is "partial 16S ribosomal RNA". It matches the Rfam family "Bacterial small subunit ribosomal RNA", at positions 28 to 507 of the family's 1533-position model. The record is from RNAcentral.